UAUCUGGUUGAUUCCAGAUUGCCCACCAU
This 29-nucleotide small RNA is filed under the name Bombyx mori (domestic silkworm). RNAcentral describes it as "ovarian small RNA-23800". Lineage: Eukaryota; Metazoa; Arthropoda; Insecta; Lepidoptera; Bombycidae. The record is from RNAcentral.